This 735-nucleotide ribosomal RNA is filed under the name uncultured bacterium. Its description in RNAcentral is "bacterial SSU rRNA". It matches the Rfam family "Bacterial small subunit ribosomal RNA", at positions 58 to 796 of the family's 1533-position model. The record is from RNAcentral.
CAAGUCGAACGGACCUAGGUCUUCGGAUUUAGGUUAGUGGCGAACGGGUGAGGAAUACAUGGAUAACGUACCCCGGACUCGAGAAUAGCGGCGGGCUUCGGCCCUUUGCGAAAGUGCCGGUAAUACUCGAUGACCCCGCGGAAUCGCAUGAUUCUGCGGGCAAAGCUCCGACGGUCCGGGAGCGGUUCAUGUCCUAUCAGCUUGUUGGUGGGGUAACGGCCUACCAAGGCAUCGACGGGUAGCGGGCGUGAGAGCGCGACCCGCCACAUCGGGACUGAGACACUGCCCGGACACCUACGGGUGGCUGCAGCAACGAAUAUUCCGCAAUGGACGAAAGUCUGACGGAGCGACGCCGCGUGCAGGAAGAAGUCCUUCGGGAUGUAAACUGCUGUCAGGGGUGAGGAAUAACUUGACCAACCCCAGAGGAAGCACUGGCUAACUCCGUGCCAGCAGCCGCGGUAAUACGGAGAGUGCAAGCGUUGUUCGGAAUUACUGGGCUUAAAGAGCGUGUAGGCGGAAUGCCAGGUGUCCUGUGAAAGCCCCGGGCUCAACCCGGGAAUGGCAGGGCAAACCGGCAUUCUUGAGGCAGGUAGAGGUCACUGGAACAAGUGGUGGAGCGGUGAAAUGCGUAGAUAUCACUUGGAACGCCGGAGGCGAAAGCGGGUGGCUGGACCUGUCCUGACGCUGAGACGCGAAAGCGUGGGUAGCGAACAGGAUUAGAUACCCUGGUAGUCC